AGCGAACGCUGGCGGCAGGCCUAACACAUGCAAGUCGAACGAACCUUUCGGGGUUAGUGGCGGACGGGUGAGUAACACGUGGGAACGUGCCUUUAGGUUCGGAAUAACUCAGGGAAACUUGUGCUAAUACCGAAUGUGCCCUUCGGGGGAAAGAUUUAUCGCCUUUAGAGCGGCCCGCGUCUGAUUAGCUAGUUGGUUGAGGUAUUGGCUCACCAAGGCGACGAUCAGUAGCUGGUCUGAGAGGAUGAUCAGCCACAUUGGGACUGAGACACGGCCCAAACUCCUACGGGAGGCAGCAGUGGGGAAUCUUGCGCAAUGGGCGAAAGCCUGACGCAGCCAUGCCGCGUAAAUGAUGAAGGUCUUAGGAUUGUAAAAUUCUUUCACCGGGGACGAUAAUGACGGUACCCGGAGAAGAAGCCCCGGCUAACUUCGUG
This 434-nucleotide ribosomal RNA is filed under the name uncultured bacterium. RNAcentral's name for it is "partial 16S ribosomal RNA". It matches the Rfam family "Bacterial small subunit ribosomal RNA", at positions 29 to 507 of the family's 1533-position model. The record is from RNAcentral.